GAUAAGUAGUAGCCAUGCAUUAUUAUCAAAGGCAUUAGAAAAUAAGACCACCAUCACACAUCAUGUUUCAUUUCCUCUUCUUAUGAAUGGACAUUUUAUUUUUUUUUCCAAUUUUUUUCCCUCCAUUGCUGGCAUCAUCCUUCACAACAACAAGUCACCACGUUGAGGCAGAAGCUGCCAACAACAGAGCCGGUCUUUGCUGCACACAAGCUCUUGCAAUGAGAAGCAAUACACUCGAAAACAGGGAUUCGUUGGAUGCAUUCUUUAUGCUCACUUAUCGCAUAACCUGUUUUCAAAAAUAUAAUAAGAUAAAAAUUUAAACAUUAUCAAGAUGCAGUUUUGGAUAGGUAAAUCUUACCGAAAGGGCUCACUAGGAGAAGCACUAGAAGUAGAGAGCAAAGUGAUGAACCCUUCAUGUUCAAAAUUGAGUGUCAACCCUUCCAAUAAAAACAAAGUUAGUUGUGAAAAAUAAAAAUGUUUCAUGAUAUUUAUGACCCUAAGUCAACAUUUUGUUUAAGAGAAAAUAGGAUUUAAUGUUCUUUGAACAAUUUUCCUAUUUGUUAAGAAAAUAUAAAAGGUAUGUAACGGUGUUUAAAGAAAAAAAAAUAACGAAAAGAAGAAAUAUUUAAUGCAUUUAUUGUAUUUAUAAAGAAAAUAUUAUAUUUAAAAAAAAAAAGGAAAAAAAGGAAAGAAUUAUUUAAUUAUAUUGUCGUAUGUGAUUUACGAUAAAAUAAGAUAAGUUGCGAAAAAGGACAAUAAGCUAUUUGAUUAUGUUGUCGUAAAAGGAAAAUAUUGUCAAAAGAAUUUUGUUAUAAUGGAAGAAGUUCUCAAGUGCUGGUUGGUCUCAAUCUUCAAUAGAAAAAAUAAAAAAUCAGUCAUACUACAAGAUAGUCAUUUUUUUUUUCUUUCGAUCUCAUAUUUUUUGAAUAAAUUAUCAACAAAUUUAGUAAAAGGGAGCAAAAAGUGAAAAUAAACAUCUUAUUCAUUUUAUCAUUAAUUUCUAUAUUUGGAUAACUUAAAUAAAAAUGAAAUAGUACUCAGAAAUAGGAUUUUAAUUGAUCUUUAAUAAGAAGUAUUUUGUUUUUCUUAGUGAAGGAAAUGAACUAGAACAUUUGAACAUUAUAAUGCAUUAAGUUCAAUGACAUUUUAUAAUUCAUUUUAUUUAUUAAGUGAAUAUUAUCAAAAAAAAUUAUUUUAAAAUAAAAAUAUAUAUUUUAAAGUAUGUGCAAGCAUAUUAUCAUCAAUUUAUUUUUAUUCACAUUCCUAAUGUUAUCAUUUAUCAACAUUAAAAUUGAAACAAACAAUCUUAUAUUCUUAGGAUGAUAAGGACAUUUUAGGAAGAAAAAAAUCCAUACCAAAAUGAGAUGAAAAGGAUAUUUUAGGGAAAAAAAAGUCCAUAAAUAACCUUUUAUAUAUAGUGUAGAUAUUUUGAAAAAGUAUGAGGAGAAAUAUGGAUGGAUAUUCAUACUUUUCCUCAAAUGCCAUGGAGAAUAAAAUUUUAUUUAUUUAUAUUACUUAUUAUUAUUAUUAUUUUAAAAAAAAAACCUUGAUUGAAAAAGUUAUAUUUGUGGUUAAAGAUAUUUAACAUAUAUGAAUUAUUAUAUAUUGAAUAUUCAACAUAAUAUGACUUUUUAUUUAGAAACUUUAAAAAUUUUAAUCAUAUAUAUUAUUAAUAAAUAAAUAUAACAUUUUUUAUUAUAAAUUUUAAAUAUUUAAUCAUGAAUAUUAUUAACAAAUAAAUAAUAAUUUCCUUACUAAAUUCUAAAUUGUAGAACAAUUUUGAAGAUAUAUAUAUAUAUAUUUUAAAAAAGUAAAUAUUAAAGUAAAAUAUAAUUUUUAUUUUAAACAAUAUCAUAUCUUAUAAUGUACUAUGAUAUUAGGACAUAGAACAUAUAUGUAUUAUCUCAUGUUUAAUCGAUCAUGAACUAAAAAAUAUACAUUUUAUCUCGUGUUCGAUUGACCAUGGGAUACAAAUGCAUACCUUUAGGUAGGAUUCAUAUUUUAUUAUGAGAUAGAUGGACAGCUUCAUAAAUAAAUAUCACUUUAGGAAAGAGAAUUUAUUUCCCAAUUUUUUUUUUUCUUGAACACAAAUGGAUGGGAAAAUAAAUUUACGGUCUUCUAAUUUUUUUUUUUUCUUUGUAAGAGUUUCUUUCUAACAAGGAUACGUUUGUUGCAUUCUUUAACCUCACUUAUUGCAUAACCUGUUUCAAAUAUAUAGUAAGAUAAAAAUGAGAACAUUAUCAACAUCCUCUAAGAAGCAUUUCAUGUGAUUUAGCAUUAUUAUGAAUAUUUCGAUAAGGGUAAAGAAACAAGUUUUGGAUAGGUAAAUCAUACUCAAAGAGCUCACUAGGAGAAGCACUAGAAGCAUAGAGCAAAGAGAAGUUGAAUAUUAACCCUCUCAAGAAAAAUCGAAUUACUUGUGAAAAUUAAUAAUAUUUUAUGAUAUUUAUAAUAGUAAGUCAAAGGGAAAAUAGGAUUUAACGCUUAAAUUUUAAAUAAUUUUCCUAUUUAUUAAGGAAAUAUAAAAUGUAUUUGACGACUAUUCGUAAGAAAAAAAUGAAAGAAAUAUUUAAUACAUUCCUCGUAUUAGUAAAUAAAAUAUUAUAUUUAAAAAAGACAUGAAAAAAAGAAGAAAUUAAUUAUCUGAUUAGGCCUAUUUCCAUAUUUUAUUUAUUUCAUAUAACAUGAAAUAAGAUAAAAAUGUGAUAGUAUAUUUUAUUUUAUAUUUGAUUUAUCACGAAAUAAGAUAAAUUAUUAAAAAAGAAAAAAAAUUGCUUUGAUCAUGUUAUUGUAUGAGUUGUCCUUAUCAUUCCCACACCUUAAAGGCCAUAUUUUUUUGGUAGCAUAUAUUUUUUUAUUUUCUAUUUUUAUCACAUCACCUAUUUUUAGAAAUACAAUUUGGUAAAAAUAACAACAUUAUUCUAGUUUUUUUGCACCAUUUUGAAUAAUAAUAAUAAAAAGUGGGGGAACAUUUUAUUUUAUUUAGCAUCUUUCAUAAAUAAAUAAAUAAAUAAAUUUGGAGAGAUUAUUUACGUUAAAAAACAUUAUAUUUGUUUAUUUUUUAUCAUCCAUCAUCCAAAAUGAUAAAAAAAAAAACUUGAAUUAUGAUUAAGGAUGAAAAUAUCAGUAAUCAUAAAUAUAUCGAAACUUUGAUUUUAUGGAUAUAUCAUAUAAAUUAAAAAUAUAUCGGUGGAUAUUUUGACGCAAAUAUCGGUGGACCUAAAGUUGAUUAAAACUUAUAUAAAUGUAAGAAAAAAACUCUUAAAAAUGAAAUUAUAAGUAUAAUAAAUAUUUUAAAGUUGUUUUGUUGAAGAAAUUGAUAUAUGUAUGAUAUAAUUUAUCAUAUUUGAUAAUAAUAUUAUGCACAUCAAUUAAAAAAAUAUGAAUUUUAUAAGUGUAUAUUUGUUAUUAAAUUAUAUUAAAUAUUAUUUAACAAUAAUAUUAUGAUCUUUGAUUAUAAUAUAUCUAAUUGUAAAAUAUAUUUAAUAUUAAAAUUAUGAUCCAUUGAAUCCAACUAUAUUAAACGGUAUAAAAUAAAUGAUGAUAUAUAUAUAUAUAUAUAUAUAUAUAUAUAUCAGGUUUUGAUGAUAACAAACCAUUGUUAAGUUACUAAUUGAUUUGAAUUAUAAAGAAUUUCAUGUAUUAAUUUGGAAAUUCAUCAAAAAACCAAAUUAUGCAAGAUCAAGACCUUAAGAAGAUCUUUAAUCAUAGGAAACAUAUAUAAGGUGAAUGCAUGAGUGCACUUAGGAUUUACAUAUCAUUUCAUGUAUUUUUGAAAAACUCGGUUUUUUCUCUAAAGUUACAAUUUCAUCAAAACUUGAGUUUUAUCAAAUGAACUUUAGACAAAUCACUUCAAAAUUGGCAUAUUAAUUUACCUAAAAAUCUUACCUAAGUGUUAGAAGAGAAAAAAUCAGAAAAAGAUAGGUUUUCGGGCUUAAAAUGGUGAAUCGAUUGAGGUACUGGCCAACCAGCUUAACUGGCUAAGAAUACUAGUCGACCGAUUCCCUCUUCCUGGUCGAGGUUCGGUCGAAGAGUGCAAAAAACACACUCUUUCUUUCAGUAGUUUUUCCUUCCUUAUCGAGGCAUUUGUCUUUCCUGUCGACCUCUGAUCGAGGUCCAGUUAAGGGUAACGGUCACCUACCAAACAUUAAAUGCUUCAACGGCUAGUGAAUCAGUCGACCCGCAACUUGAUCGAUUAAGGCUGCUUUUUGGUUUUUUUGACUCCUGAGGUUAGAAACCUAUAAAUAGAUAGCUCUAUUUCAUUUAUGAGCAUAAGAACACCUACUUUUAUUUGUUUACCCACUUGUUCUUACCUUAAAAGCUCUCAUUUCUUUUCUUGGUGCAUUAAAUUCCCAUUUGCAUAUCAUUUAGUACACCUUUGUGAUUCAUCCUAGCCUUAAGUUGUACUUGAGCAUUUGUUGAGUUAGGUUGAGAGAUUCAUACCUAUUAAUUGAGGGUUAAAGCCUUAAAGUGAGUUGAAACUUGAAGAGAUUGUGUAAGAGCCCAUUGGAGCCAAAAUCCAAGUGUAAAUGUGAUUAGAAGGUUGGUUGAAACUUCAAGUUAGUGGAACCCUUACUCGGUUAGGAGCUUGAGGAGAGUAGACGUAAACAAAGAAGUGUCGAACCACUAUAAAAUCUGAGUUUGAUUUCUCUAACUCUAUCUCUUUAUAUGUGCUUUUCUUGUGUUUAAAUUUGUUGUGUUUAAUUUUUUUAAAAAAAAAAAUCCAAUUCACUCCCCUCUUUGGUGUUUUUCUCAUUUAAGAUUAACUUUUAUUUUCUCAUAUAUUAAUGAUAUUAAAAACAAAGAAAAUUAUCAAGAUAAUUUUUAUAUUUUUGGUAAUCAAUUAAAUGAUUUUUUUAUUUAAUUAUAAAAUAAUUGUAAUUAAUUUGUUUUUUAAAAUAUUCUUUCAAUAUUUUGUUUAUAUGAUGACUUUUAGUAUAUAUACAUUUGAUGUAAUAUAUUUAAUAAAGGGUGAACUUGUCCCAAUGGUCGGCUAAAGUUGGUGGUCAACUUUUUGUUUGGGAUUCAAGUGAGCUUUGAUCACUAUCGACCCGUUUUGACCAUGUUGAUUACCUUGAAAUAUCGGGAAAUAUAUACAAAAAUCUUGAUAAAUGAUUGAAAUAUCGAUACCUCCAUUUUUCUGCCCUAUAUAUCGAGGUUGAUCGAAACUCAAUAUCAAUAUUUGGACUAUAUAUUACCGAAAUAUUGCCAUAUUUUAAUCCUAAUUAUGAUUUUGAAUAUUACUACUUAUUGUUGUUUUGAAAAAAGGAAUUUAAUAUGAAGAAACUCUCAAGUGUUCGCUGGUCUCAAUCUUUAUAGGAAUAAGAAAGAAAGAAAAAAAAACAAUGUUUUAUUUCUUAGGAAUUUAUCUAUGAAUUUGGGACUAAUUUAAAAUGGAAUUUCUCCCGAAUUAAGAAUACAAAUUAUAAGAUAAGUUAGUACUACAAGGCAAUCAAAAUUUUAUUUUCUUUUUCUAAUUCUCUUAAUAAAUAUAAUAAGGACAUGUUUGGUAUGAGAGAAUAAAAAAUGGAAAUGGACUUGCCAUUCAUUUACUUAAAUGAUAACAGAAAAAUAAUUAAAAAUAAUUCCAAUAAUAUAUAUAUACUCAAAAGAUAUUCAUUUAAAAUGAAAUAAAAAUAUGCAAGAAUAUUUUAUAAAAUUUACAUGUACUAUGAAUCAUAAUUUCCUUUCAUAUUUAUUUUCAUCCAUUUUUACAAUUCCAAAGUUAUUUUAACCCAUGUAUCCAAAUGGCCCGUAAAACAAAAAAAGACAAAAUGAAGAAGAGAAUUAUGCAAUGAACUUAACAUAUCAUAUUCAAUUGAAAAUACAAACUUAUAUCUUAUGAUCCAAUUCCUUUUAAUUAGGCAUGGCAUGAGAUAAGUCCUUUAUCUUUGGAAAGUGACCAAUCAUGUACCCUCAACUUGGAAAUUCUAUUUUAUACCUCUUCAUCUAGCCUUAUUUUUAGAACUUUUAAUUGCCUAAAAUUAUUUUCUUGUAAGAGUUUUAAUGUCAAAAACAUUUUAGUUAUAUUUAAUCCUUAGAAAAUUUGAAUGAAAAUGUAAAUGAAAGAAACUAAAGAGGAAAAAUAUAUUAAAAAAGAAAUAAAAAAUGAAUUUAAAAUUAAUAAAUUAUAUUUAUAUGCUCUUUUAAAUUUAUUUUAUUUAUUUUAAUUCUUUUAUAUAAAGAUUAACAAUAUAAAAAUAUAUAACUUUUUAAUUAAUUUUAUUUUUAUUUGACUUAUUUAUUUAUUUUUAUAAUAAAAUCAAACAUAAAAAAAAUCAUUUUCUUUAUUAUUUUUUGUUUCUUUCUCUAGUAUAUUUUAGGAAUUAAACAAAGCUGCGGUAUAUUUCAUAGACAAAUAAUUUUCUUUUAUGCCAAACACUACAAAGAAAAAAAAGAAGAAAAGAAAAGAUAAUAAAUUAUGAUGAUAUUAAUAUAUAUCGUUAUUACCCAAAGCAUUACAACAUGUCUCCAUCAUCACACAUCAUAUUCACUUUUCACCGUUAUUUUCCUGUAUAGGCAAAUAUUAGAAUAUCUUCAGCAAGAAAAUAAUUUUCCUCCAAACCAAACAACACCAAAAGAGAAAGAUAAUAAGUAGAAGUCAUAUAUUAUUAUCAAAGGCAUUAGAAAAUAGGUCCACCAUCACACAUCAUGUUUCAUUUCCUCAAAUUAUGGAUGGGUAUUUUAUUUUUUCCAUCCUUUUUCCCUCUAUUGCUGGCAUCAUCCUUCACAGCAACAAGUCACCUCGUUGAGGCAGUGUCCGCCAACAGCGCCACACAAACUGCUGCAUACGAAACCAAUACACUCAGGAACAAGGUGUCGUUUCUUGCAUUCUUGCUGCUGACUUAUCGCAUAAUCUGUCCUAAAAAAUAUAACAAGAUCAAAAUGAAAACAUUUUCAACAUCAAAAUACAAGUUUUUUCGUCUAUUUUGAUAAGGGUAAAGAAACAAGUAUUGGAUAGGUAAAUCAUACCGAUAGAGCUCACUAGGAGAAGCACUAGAAGUAGAGAGCAAAGAGAUGAACCCUUCAUGUUCAAAAUUG
Molecule: long non-coding RNA, 7041 nt
Filed under: Vitis vinifera (wine grape)
Lineage: Eukaryota; Viridiplantae; Streptophyta; Magnoliopsida; Vitales; Vitaceae
Description: long non-coding RNA (VVIN_LNC001682)
Source: RNAcentral